RNAcentral lists this ribosomal RNA (62 nucleotides) under Methanobacteriota archaeon. RNAcentral describes it as "Euryarchaeota archaeon partial 23S ribosomal RNA". The record is from RNAcentral. Lineage: Archaea; Methanobacteriati; Methanobacteriota.
UGUGGAAGCGCAGUAAUGCGUGCAGCUGACCAGUACUAAUAGCUCAAUUGGCUUGAUUUAUG